AUAGACAAAACACAAGUACACGACGCUAGGUCUCGCGUGUUUUACACGGUUUUCCGACUAUACGGCAUUAUAGUUUUACGAUGUCGUUCAAAACCGCGCGCGCCUGAAAAUAAUAAUAUUCUACGGGAAUAGGUAGGCUUUUAGUACACGAUUAAUAAUGCACACGCGAAUACGCAAAAUAUAUUCCCCACUGUAUAGGUGUAA
Non-coding RNA from Cinara cedri, 204 nucleotides. Lineage: Eukaryota; Metazoa; Arthropoda; Insecta; Hemiptera; Aphididae. The record is from the annotation of a GenBank genome assembly.